CGACUCUCGGCAACGGAUAUCUCGGCUCUCGCAUCGAUGAAGAACGUAGCGAAAUGCGAUACUUGGUGUGAAUUGCAGAAUCCCGUGAACCAUCGAGUCUUUGAACGCAAGUUGCGCCCCAAGCCGUCAGGCCGAGGGCACGUCUGCCUGGGUGUCACG
RNAcentral lists this ribosomal RNA (159 nucleotides) under Khaya senegalensis. RNAcentral describes it as "5.8S ribosomal RNA". It matches the Rfam family "5.8S ribosomal RNA". Rfam says of the family: 5.8S ribosomal RNA (5.8S rRNA) is a component of the large subunit of the eukaryotic ribosome. Lineage: Eukaryota; Viridiplantae; Streptophyta; Magnoliopsida; Sapindales; Meliaceae. The record is from RNAcentral.